AGUGGGGAAUAUUGGACAAUGGGCGAAAGCCUGAUCCAGCCAUGCCGCGUGGAUGAAGAAGGCCCUAGGGUUGUAAAGUCCUUUCGGUGGUGAAGAUAAUGACGGUAACCACAUAAGAAGCCCCGGCUAAUUUCGUGCCAGCAGCCGCGGUAAUACGAAAGGGGCUAGCGUUGUUCGGAAUUACUGGGCGUAAAGCGCACGUAGGCGGCCUUGUAAGUUAGGGGUGAAAUCCCCGGGCUCAACCCGGGAACUGCCUUUAAGACUGCAAAGCUUGAGGAUGCGAGAGGUUGGCGGAAUUCCGAGUGUAGAGGUGAAAUUCGUAGAUAUUCGGAAGAACACCAGUGGCGAAGGCGGCCAACUGGCGCAUUUCUGACGCUGAGGUGCGAAAGCGUGGGGAGCAAA
This 402-nucleotide ribosomal RNA is filed under the name uncultured Parvularcula sp. RNAcentral describes it as "bacterial SSU rRNA". It matches the Rfam family "Bacterial small subunit ribosomal RNA", at positions 353 to 772 of the family's 1533-position model. The record is from RNAcentral. Lineage: Bacteria; Pseudomonadati; Pseudomonadota; Alphaproteobacteria; Parvularculales; Parvularculaceae.